GGAGGGCAGGUCUGGUGCCAGCAGCCGCGGUAAUUCCAGCUCCCAUAGCGUAUAUUAAAGUUGUUGCAGUUAAAAAGCUCGUAGUUGAAUUUCGGGGUUCCACCGUUGGUCGGGCUAUUGUCUGUACUGGCGUGUGGAAUUUCUACCUUCUGGGGAACCGAUCAUGUUCUAUAUUUAGCGUGGUGGGAAACCAGGACCUUUACCUUGA
RNAcentral lists this ribosomal RNA (208 nucleotides) under uncultured Gigaspora. Its description in RNAcentral is "partial 18S ribosomal RNA". It matches the Rfam family "Eukaryotic small subunit ribosomal RNA", at positions 550 to 760 of the family's 1831-position model. The record is from RNAcentral. Lineage: Eukaryota; Fungi; Glomeromycota; Glomeromycetes; Diversisporales; Gigasporaceae.